GAUGAAGAACGUAGCGAAAUGCGAUAACUAAUGUGAAUUGCAGAAUUCCGUGAAUCAUCGAGUCUUUGAACGCACAUUGCGCCCCCUGGUAUUCCGGGGGGCAUGCCUGUCCGAGCGUCAUUGCUGCCCAUCAAGCACGGCUUGUGUGUUGGGUCCUCGUCCCCCCCGGGGGACGUGCCCGAAAGGCAGCGGCGGCACCGCGUCCGGUCCUCGAGCGUAUGGGGCUUUGUCACCCGCUCUGCAGGCCCGGCCGGCGCUGGCCGACGCGAAAGCAACCAUUUUUUCUCCAGGUUGACCUCGGAUCAGGUAGGGAUACCCGCUGAACUUAAGCAUAUCAAUAAGCGGUGGA
RNAcentral lists this unclassified non-coding RNA (349 nucleotides) under soil metagenome. RNAcentral describes it as "partial contains 5.8S ribosomal RNA, internal transcribed spacer 2, and large subunit ribosomal RNA". The stretch from base 1 to 120 matches the Rfam family "5.8S ribosomal RNA", at positions 35 to 154 of the family's 154-position model. The record is from RNAcentral.